CCUACGGGGAGCAGCAGUGAGGAAUAUUGGUCAAUGGGCGUAAGCCUGAACCAGCCAAGUCGCGUGAGGGAUGAAGGUUCUAUGGAUCGUAAACCUCUUUUAUAAGGGAAUAAAGUGUGGGACGUGUCCUGUUUUGUAUGUACCUUAUGAAUAAGGAUCGGCUAACUCCGUGCCAGCAGCCGCGGUAAUACGGAGGAUCCGAGCGUUAUCCGGAUUUAUUGGGUUUAAAGGGUGCGUAGGCGGCCUUUUAAGUCAGCGGUGAAAGUCUGUGGCUCAACCAUAGAAUUGCCGUUGAAACUGGGAGGCUUGAGUAUGUUUGAGGCAGGCGGAAUGCGUGGUGUAGCGGUGAAAUGCUUAGAUAGCACGCAGAACCCCGAUUGCGAAGGCAGCCUGCCAAGCCAUGACUGACGCUGAUGCACGAAAGCGUGGGGAUCAAACAGGAUUAGAUACCCGGGUAGUC
Molecule: ribosomal RNA, 460 nt
Filed under: uncultured bacterium
Lineage: Bacteria
Description: partial 16S ribosomal RNA
Rfam family: Bacterial small subunit ribosomal RNA
Source: RNAcentral